Molecule: ribosomal RNA, 404 nt
Filed under: uncultured bacterium
Lineage: Bacteria
Description: bacterial SSU rRNA
Rfam family: Bacterial small subunit ribosomal RNA
Source: RNAcentral
UGGGGGAUAUUGCACAAUGGGGGGAACCCUGAUGCAGCAACGCCGCGUGAGUGAAGAAGUAUUUCGGUAUGUAAAGCUCUAUCAGCAGGGAAGAUGAUGACGGUACCUGCAUAAGAAGCCCCGGCUAACUACGUGCCAGCAGCCGCGGUAAUACGUAGGGGGCAAGCGUUAUCCGGAUUUACUGGGUGUAAAGGGAGUGUAGGCGGUACGGCAAGUCUGAUGUGAAAACCCUAAGCUCAACUAAGGGAGUGCAUUGGAAACUGUCGGACUAGAGUGUGGGAGAGGCAGGCGGAAUUCCUAGUGUAGCGGUGAAAUGCGUAGAUAUUAGGAGGAACACCAGUGGCGAAGGCGGCCUGCUGGACCAAGACUGACGCUGAGGCUCGAAAGCGUGGGGAGCAAACAGG